GAAAUGCGAUAAGUAAUGUGAAUUGCAGAAUUCAGUGAAUCAUCGAAUCUUUGAACGCACAUUGCGCCCGCCAGUAUUCUGGCGGGCAUGCCUGUUCGAGCGUCAUUUCAACCAUCAAGCCCCCGGCUUGUGUUGGGGACCUGCGGCUGCCCGCAGGCCCUGAAAAACAGUGGCGGGCUCGCUGUCACACCGAGCGUAGUAGCAUACAUUCUCGCUCAGGGCGUGCUGCGGGUUCCGGCCGUUAAGCGACCUUCAUAACCCAAGGUUGACCUCGGAUCAGGUAGGAAGACCCGCUGAACUUAAGC
This 305-nucleotide unclassified non-coding RNA is filed under the name plant metagenome. Its description in RNAcentral is "partial contains 5.8S ribosomal RNA, internal transcribed spacer 2, and large subunit ribosomal RNA". The stretch from base 1 to 105 matches the Rfam family "5.8S ribosomal RNA", at positions 50 to 154 of the family's 154-position model. The record is from RNAcentral.